This is a long non-coding RNA of Myotis davidii, 897 nucleotides long. RefSeq lists it as uncharacterized. The transcript has 3 exons. The record is from RefSeq and is a predicted model, not a curated record. NCBI's taxonomy places the organism in Eukaryota, Metazoa, Chordata, Mammalia, Chiroptera, Vespertilionidae.
CAGCGCAGACACACACACCCAGCGUGAGCUCAUCUGAUUAGGGGCCAUCAGCCAUAUGGCGCUUGGGGCACGUCCACAGGCCCCCCUUGACGAUCGUGGGGUUCAGGGGCUCGGUGCCGAGCCAGGACCUGGUGCCACUGACCCUUCGAGUCCAUCUCGCUCCCGGGAGGAGCUUGUGCACAGGAUGACCUGGGGCAGAGUGUCGUUCCAGAAAGUUCCAGCUGGGGCUUGUCUUACCUGACUCUUGGUCUUAAGGUUUUUUCUUUUCACGUUUCCUUACCACAGAGGCACAAAGGGGGGCCCAGAGGGGUCAGCGAGGAUGGAGGGCCGAGCUUCCCCGGGGGGAGCUAGUUGACGAGCCUGCCCCAGGGGCUGAGGACUGUCCCCCCGACCCGGAGGCCCUCCCUGAUGCCGGUGGGCCCAGCGACCGAGCCAAGACAAACACGGUGCAUGAGCUCACGGGGCUGGGAGCGCAGCGCGGAUGUGCUAUCUGCAGUGCGGACUUUGGACGGGGGCCUUACCCGGAAAGAAAGAAGCAUGAAAUCUGGAAACAAAAGAAAUAUGCGCUUGAACCAGGACGCUUUUAUCAGAGAGCUGCUGGGAUCCAAGCCUGCCUACGCGGCACAGCCAAGAUGCAAAUGGGCCCAUGGGGGAAAGGAGCGAAGUGGAAGGAUUUCCAGAAAUGGACAGGAAGGUUAGAGUCUGAUGUGCGUUAAAAGAAAAAAAAAAGAAAGAAAAGGGAGAGUUUGGAAAGUGGGGAGGACGUGCUCGAGGAGAAAGGGUUGGGAAAACAGGGGACAGCCAGGUAAAGAGGCGGCAAAGUGCCCCAGCCAACGAGGCUCGGUGGUUGAGCGUGGACCUAGGAACCAGGAGGUCACGGUUCGAUUCCUGGUUAAG